GACGAACGCUGGCGGCGUGCCUAACACAUGCAAGUCGAACGGUGAAGCGCCUUCCUUUUUGGUGGGUGUGGAUGAGUGGCGAACGGGUGAGUAACACGUGAGUAACCUGCCCCCUUCUUCUGGAUAACCGCAUGAAAGUGUGGCUAAUACGGGAUAUUCUGGGUCUGUCGCAUGAUGGGUCUGGGAAAGAUAUUGUUUCGGUGGGGGAUGGGCUCGCGGCCUAUCAGCUUGUUGGUGGGGUGAUGGCCUACCAAGGCGGUGACGGGUAGCCGGCCUGAGAGGGUGGACGGUCACACUGGGACUGAGACACGGCCCAGACUCCUACGGGAGGCAGCAGUGGGGAAUAUUGCACAAUGGGCGCAAGCCUGAUGCAGCGACGCCGCGUGAGGGAUGGAGGCCUUCGGGUUGUGAACCUCUUUCGCCAGUGAAGCAGGCCUGCCUCGUUUGUGGGUGGGUUGACGGUAGCUGGAUAAGAAGCGCCGGCUAACUACGUG
Molecule: ribosomal RNA, 494 nt
Filed under: uncultured bacterium
Lineage: Bacteria
Description: partial 16S ribosomal RNA
Rfam family: Bacterial small subunit ribosomal RNA
Source: RNAcentral